GUAGGACUGCUAGUAGUCUGAUGGUAUCUUCAAACAGUGCUACAACACUGACAGAGUAGGACUGUCUGAUGUCUGAUGGUAUCUUCAAACAGUGCUACAACACUGACAGAGUAGGACUGCUAGUAGUCUGAUGGUAUCUUCAAACAGUGCUACAACACUGACAGAGUAGGACUGCUAGUAGUCUGAUGGUAUCUUCAAACAGUGCUACAACACUGACAGAGUAGGACUGUCUGAUGGUAUCUUCAAACAGUGCUAAACAGUGCUACAACACUGACAGAG
Haliotis rubra (blacklip abalone) is the source of this 279-nucleotide long non-coding RNA. RefSeq lists it as uncharacterized. The record is from RefSeq and is a predicted model, not a curated record. Lineage: Eukaryota; Metazoa; Mollusca; Gastropoda; Lepetellida; Haliotidae. The transcript is spliced from 3 exons.